Molecule: ribosomal RNA, 509 nt
Filed under: uncultured bacterium
Lineage: Bacteria
Description: partial 16S ribosomal RNA
Rfam family: Bacterial small subunit ribosomal RNA (bases 20-329)
Source: RNAcentral
GACGAACGCUGGCGGCGUGCUUAACACAUGCAAGUCGAACGGAAAGGCCCUGCUUUUGUGGGGUGCUCGAGUGGCGAACGGGUGAGUAACACGUGAGUAACCUGCCCUUGACUUUGGGAUAACUUCAGGAAACUGGGGCUAAUACCGGAUAGGAGCUCCUGCUGCAUGGUGGGGGUUGGAAAGUUUCGGCGGUUGGGGAUGGACUCGCGGCUUAUCAGCUUGUUGGUGGGGUAGUGGCUUACCAAGGCUUUGACGGGUAGCCGGCCUGAGAGGGUGACCGGCGAGGGGGUGGCGGGCAUACGACCCCGGGCAGGAGGGGCGGCGGAGGGGGGGAAGAGGGGAGCCUGGGCGGCCGCCGGAGUGAGCGUCGCGGGGGGCGGGGUGGCGGGCGGCGGUUUGUACGCCGCUUUCGCGUGGCAGGGGGGGGGAGAGACGGUGGGGGGAAAAGAAGCACCGGCGAAAGACGUGCGAGCAGCAGGGUAAAUAGUGGGAAGAGAACACGUCUGAAC